UACGUAGGGGGCAAGCGUUGUCCGGAAUCAUUGGGCGUAAAGAGCGCGUAGGCGGCCCUGUAAGUCCGCUGUGAAAGUCAAGGGCUCAACCCUUGAAUGCCGGUGGAUACUGCAGGGCUAGAGUCCGGGAGAGGAGAGUGGAGUUCCUGGUGUAGCGGUGAAAUGCGUAGAUAUCAAGAGGAACACCUGAGGUGAAGACGGGUUGCUGGGCUGACACGUGACGCUGAGGCGCGAAAGCUAGGGGUAGCAAACGGG
Molecule: ribosomal RNA, 255 nt
Filed under: uncultured bacterium
Lineage: Bacteria
Description: partial 16S ribosomal RNA
Rfam family: Bacterial small subunit ribosomal RNA
Source: RNAcentral